RNAcentral lists this ribosomal RNA (465 nucleotides) under Vreelandella stevensii. RNAcentral's name for it is "partial 16S ribosomal RNA". It matches the Rfam family "Bacterial small subunit ribosomal RNA", at positions 338 to 795 of the family's 1533-position model. The record is from RNAcentral. Lineage: Bacteria; Pseudomonadati; Pseudomonadota; Gammaproteobacteria; Oceanospirillales; Halomonadaceae.
CCUACGGACGGCUGCAGUGGGGAAUAUUGGACAAUGGGGGGAACCCUGAUCCAGCCAUGCCGCGUGUGUGAAGAAGGCCCUCGGGUUGUAAAGCACUUUCAGUGAGGAAGAACGCCUGGUGGUUAAUACCCAUCAGGAAAGACAUCACUCACAGAAGAAGCACCGGCUAACUCCGUGCCAGCAGCCGCGGUAAUACGGAGGGUGCGAGCGUUAAUCGGAAUUACUGGGCGUAAAGCGCGCGUAGGUGGCUUGAUAAGCCGGUUGUGAAAGCCCCGGGCUCAACCUGGGAACGGCAUCCGGAACUGUCAAGCUAGAGUGCAGGAGAGGAAGGUAGAAUUCCCGGUGUAGCGGUGAAAUGCGUAGAGAUCGGGAGGAAUACCAGUGGCGAAGGCGGCCUUCUGGACUGACACUGACACUGAGGUGCGAAAGCGUGGGUAGCAAACAGGAUUAGAUACCCCUGUAGUC